This 497-nucleotide ribosomal RNA is filed under the name uncultured bacterium. RNAcentral describes it as "partial 16S ribosomal RNA". It matches the Rfam family "Bacterial small subunit ribosomal RNA", at positions 28 to 507 of the family's 1533-position model. The record is from RNAcentral.
GAUGAACGCUGGCGGCGUGCCUAAUACAUGCAAGUCGAGCGAACAGACGAGGAGCUUGCUCCUCUAACGUUAGCGGCGGACGGGUGAGUAACACGUGGAUAACUUACCUAUAAGACUGGGAUAACUUCGGGAAACCGGAGCUAAUACCGGAUAAUAUAUUGAACCGCAUGGUUCAAUAGUGAAAGACGGUUUUGCUGUCACUUAUAGAUGGAUCCGCGCCGCAUUAGCUAGUUGGUAAGGUAACAGCUUACCAAGGCAACGAUGCGUAGCCGACCUGAGAGGGUGAUCGGCCACACUGGAACUGAGACACGGUCCAGACUCCUACGGGAGGCAGCAGUAGGGAAUCUUCCGCAAUGGGCGAAAGCCUGACGGAGCAACGCCGCGUGAGUGAUGAAGGUCUUCGGAUCGUAAAACUCUGUUAUUAGGGAAGAACAAAUGUGUAAGUAACUAUGCACGUCUUGACGGUACCUAAUCAGAAAGCCACGGCUAACUACGUG